GAGUGACCGGUGACUGGCUGCUGCAGCCAAUGAUGCGAUUCACAUACGUAUUUACCAUAGACUGUAUAUAAUGGUAUUUACGCAGCUAAUCAACGUCAGGCGUCCUUAUGUGCAGCCACCGCUGUUCUCAUAGAUAUGAAUGAGUAGAUAGGACACGCCCCUUUGAGCUGCGUGCUACAGCGAGGCUAAGCUAGUGGGGGAAAAGUUUCAGUGCAUUCUGUUGAUGUAGACGGCGUGAAAACGGAAACAACAAGUAUGCCGUCUCACUGUACUGCAUAUAGUUACACACUACGUCGUACGAUUGAGACAAGGAAACUUGGAAUGACUUUUCAUAGGUUUCCCAGAGACUAUGGGUUGAGGAGGAAUUGGAAGUUUGUCGGCUUAGACCUGGUGUUAUUCCAUCAGUGUUAAACUUCCCGGCUCAUCUUGGAAGAGUACGUGCCAGAAAGACCACGACCAAGCAGCCUUGAGAUCUUAGACAGCGUCUCCCUGAGACCAAAGAACUACAGACUCUUCACAACCUGCUCAAACUCUUGGUACAGGACCUCACCACACGGGUCAAGAAGGUUUCUGUCUCAUUUCUACUCUGAAGCUCACCUUCUCCUGCUCAAACUAC
Amphiprion ocellaris (clown anemonefish) is the source of this 616-nucleotide long non-coding RNA. Lineage: Eukaryota; Metazoa; Chordata; Actinopteri; Pomacentridae. The record is from Ensembl.